CGAGACUUUCAGUGCAGGCAGCGCUUCCUUCCGGGCAACCUUGCGUUUGCAGCGAGUCGGCGCCCGCGCCAGUCCGCGACUGGCCACCGUAGCGCUCGUACGCGCUACAACACGCUCCUCCCGCGAAAACACGUGACAAUACGCGAGUACAACAAACAAUUUUGGAUUGACGGACGGUGCAUGUGUACAAGUGGCUGCCACUCAGUGCUUUGAAGUGGAGGCUCGGGCCGCCGGCGCCGCUGGGCCCGUGAUCGGCCCGAGCGGCGGUAUGGAAUCCCCGCAAAUGUACGAUGCGGCGGCAGCACCGCCGCCGCCACCGCAGCCAGACCUCAAGAAGGCAGUUGAUGAUAAAAGACCAGCGUUUCCUCCUCCGGACCUAGACGAGCUCAAUGGACAGGAAAUUAGCUUGGACUUGCAACACCUCAUCGAGGACCAGUUCCGAGGGGAAGAGACCAUGGCCCUCUUCCAGGAAAUACUUCCUGGUGGCCGCUCUCCACAACCAAGACAGAGUUUUGCCCGAACAACCUUGGCAUAUAUGCCCCAGCCGGUACACUCAGGCGCGUCCUAUGCUGCUCCCGUGCCAACGAGCUCAGGGCAUGAGCAACAAGCGCCGCCAAUAAAGGAGGAACCACCAGAGCCUCAUGAUUUCAGGAGAUCGGUGACGUGUGCACAGUAUACUGGUCAAUAUAAUCCUCAACCACCAGUUGGUGUAGGUGGUCCGUAUGGCGGCGGAUUUACGCCAUUACCACCAUUGGGUGCUCCGUUACUGCCGCCUCUACUCAAACACAAGCCUGCACCAGCGAGACGCUCUUCAGGCAAAGUGAUAGACAAAGGUACAGACGAAUAUAGGAGGCGGCGGGAGCGCAACAAUAUAGCGGUCAGGAAAUCACGGGAAAAAGCAAAAGUGCGUUCCAGGGAGGUGGAGGAAAAAGUUAAAACGUUGUUAAGGGAGAAAGAGGCGUUGCUAAAGAGGCUGGAGGCAGUAUCGGGAGAGUUGAGCCUACACAAACAGAUGUACGUUCAUUUAAUCAAUUUGAACCAUCCUGAGAUCACGGAGCUUUGCCGAUCGAUGCUGCAACUUGGAGCCCCUCAUGCGCCUGAUCACACGCUUUGACCGUAUGUGAGUGUGCGUUACCUUUUUGUUGUGUGCAUCCGUUGGCUACAUUGCGGCAUAAUGUACAUGGAACUAAGACAGCGGAGCGUUACGUAGCGUUAGCGUCCGUGUGAUAACAUAACAUGUGCAUGAUGAAACUUACUAUUUAUAAGUGAAACUCCUUUUUGGAAAACUUUAGCUAGCGAAUUGUAACUUUGUGAUUUUUACUGUUUACUUUUUAUAUAAAUAUACAAGGAUAGCAUAGUUUAUAAGGUAGUUGCAAAAGAUUAAAAAAUGACGCAGAAACGCAACUUCUUUGUCAUUUUUUGACGCGCGCGCGGAUCGUUUACGGUCCAUUACUUAUUGUAAGAAGUGCCGUUUCUCAAUUAGUUAUUAUUUAAUCUUUUGAUUGUAAACAUAUUCUGACAAUGGCGAAUCCUAGCUACCUAGUAGUGAUCUCAAAUAAUGUGGCAAGGAUUUGCGCACGCUCACAAAAUCACUGCCAUUGAGCCUCAAAAAUGUUCUUUAAAACGACAUCGGGAAAGUCUGAUUUUAUUUGCGAAGGCUGCUGUAGAUUAAUUUUUAUUGGACAGUCAUGAUUUUUUUUUAAUUCAUUGUUGUGUCUUAGUCAAGAAAUGUGAACAAAUGAAGAUUGCAUCUUGACCACAAAAUAAAUUUCGAUUUAUUUUUAAAUUGUUUUAAAAUCUUUCUUAAAAUUCUUAAGUUAAAAAAAAAAAAACUAUCUACCAAUAUACUCAUGAUUUGUAUCGAUUGUAUCGAACCGCUACUUCAUCAAGGUCACCAAAUGUGACAUCUGUCAAGGUCAAAUUUAUCAAUCAUUAACUCUGUGUUCGAAUUGUGAUCUCUGUUUGAUUUCUUGAUUCCAUCAUUGGCUAUAUAUAGGUGAGAAACAUCAUGCGAUGCAUCUGUGAAUUAAUCUUUGUCAGAUUAAACAUUAUAGAUGUCGCUAGAAUCAUUUUAAUAGUAAACGUUGUUAUUUUUAUUAUCUAAAUAUAUAUAUAUAUAUUUGGAUGACUGAUCAUUAAAAAUCAAAUUAUCGUAUCCAUUCAACUUUUAAGUUAAGAACGUCUUAAUGUAAUAUAUAGUUUAAUUAGUUAGUUUUAAUGUUACUGUAAUAUAAAUUGGUUGUAAAUAAUUUGGAAUCUAUAAAUAAUCGAAUGUUCUAGUUGUAAAAUACUUAUUUACUCUUCUGUCUUUAUUCUAUUUUACCUUUUACUAUUUUGUCUUUUUAUUAUAUAAUAAAAUUUUAUUAACAAUUCAGAAAACAAUUGAUGUUUCGUUAGAAAAAUAUAGAAGAGAUACUGUGUUUUAUCUUAUACUUUAAUGUAAUAACUAAAGAUUACGACUAAGAGUCCCGGAUGGUCGCGAAACUAGUUGAGAUUUCUUGACUAAACUAGACUUAAGUUAAACCGGUAGUUAUUACAUUAAAAUAUAAUGCGUACUUACAAAACCUUUAGCAAUUAAAUUGUCCAUCUUAUUAACAGUUUUGUUUCUUUUUUUUUUAAUUCUAAUUACUUGUUAAACUGUACUAUUAAAUUUGUUUUUUUUUUUGAAUAAUUUAAAUCAUUAUGUAAAUAUUUACUAUUUUUAACUUUACCGCUGAGCGAUUAAGUCUUGCUAUGGGUUAUAUAAUUGUUGAUUUCUAAAAUUUUUAUUCCUAACGAUGUACCUUUAAAUAAUUUUUGUUAGAUAUCUCUUGUCUAUGUUACGUUAAGUGUUAAGUGACGAGUUUUAAAUUAAAAUAUAUGAUAAAAUCAUUCUUUUGUCGUGUGGGAAGUACAAGGAGUUAUUUAUAUUAAAUAUAUAAUUCAAUUUGUUUUUUUUUUUUUUGUAGUGCUACUUAAUUUCGUGAAACGGUAGCUACUAGCACGGGUUACAGGCUGCCUUUACACAGUUAUAUAUAAACUAGAACGCAUAACCGCUGAGUGCCAACCCUAGAUUAGCGUAGUAACAUUCAAAUAGGGUCGGCAGUCAUUGCAAAACGGGUCUUGAAACGUAUAGUUACCAGAAUGGAUCCUAAUUUUUUUUUAUAUAUAAUAUCUACAAGGUGACUACACACCAUUUAUAUAUUAAAAAAAAUAUAUUAUAUUUUAUUACAAUAGUCAUUAAAGUAUUUAUUUUUAAUAAUUUACAUAUAUUAUAUUAUAAAUUUUAUUAUUGUCAACAGUUUUUUUUUUCGGUGUGUAGAAACCAAACAGUAUGUACAAGUAAAUGAUACCACUCCGUCCCAAUCAUACUACAUAAUAAUAUAUGAGUUUUUAUAAGGGAAACUAUUUUUUUUUUUAACUAAUAAGAGAAAAGCUAUAACUAUUAAUUGACUAAUGUUUCCACAAUACAGAUGUGUAUAUAUAAAAUCUGUGAAAAAAAAAUUUUGUUUUUUUUUUCUGAUAUCUUUAUACUACUUAGAAAACAAAAAGUGUUCAAUACGUUUGUGAGGCUCACUUAAAAAGCCUUUAUAGUAUAUAAUAUAUACUUUUCUUGUUGUUUUUUUUAAUGUUUUAAAUGAAUUUUAUAUAUUUUUCGUUUAUGUUUGGUCGUCCAGAUGGUGCUAAGAGAUCAAAUAUUUUUCCAUAUUUUUUUUUUCGUUCUGAGCCAAAGACUUUUUUACGCUCCUCUUGUUACAUGUUUUUUAGACAGUAAAUAUAUAAAUACUUAAUUGUAAUUUGGUAAAAAUGUAAAAAAAAAAAAUAUUUAAAAUUGUUUCGGGAAUAAAUUUUACAAAAAAAAUAAAUAUGUAUUUUACUGGCUAAAUAAUGAAUGUAACAGCUAUUUUAUAUAAUUUGGUUAUAUGUUGUUAUGUAUAUUUUGCUUUAUAUUGUACCCGUUAUAUUGUACCUAUGUAUGAGGCCUUGAUUUUUCCUGACAAUAAAUUUAGCGAUAAGAGAAAUGUAAUGUCAAUGUUCUAGGUGCAAUUAAUUUUAAUAUAUGAAUAUUUAAU
Molecule: RNA transcript, 4052 nt
Organism: Galleria mellonella (greater wax moth)
Lineage: Eukaryota; Metazoa; Arthropoda; Insecta; Lepidoptera; Pyralidae
Gene: C/EBP
Gene name: CCAAT/enhancer-binding protein
Exons: 2
Source: RefSeq, a predicted model, not a curated record